Gopherus flavomarginatus (Mexican gopher tortoise) is the source of this 511-nucleotide non-coding RNA. Lineage: Eukaryota; Metazoa; Chordata; Testudines; Testudinidae. The record is from the annotation of a RefSeq genome assembly.
UCUGGCUUUUUAUCCACAAAGGGCCUGAAAUCUCCUCACCAUGCUCUGGGCUCCCCUCAUCCUCCUGCUGGGGACGUGGUGCACAGGUUCUAGCUCACAGCCUGUGCUGACUCAGCCGCCCUCAAUAUCAGUGUCCCCAGGAAACACUGUGAAACUCUCCUGCACCAUGAGCAGUGGGACCAGCAUCAGUGACUACUAUGUGUACUGGUACCAGCAGAAACCUUGGAAUUCUCCACGAUACCUGCUGUAUUACUAUACGGAUUCCAGCAAGGGCCAGGGCUCUGGGGUCCCUGCUCGCUUUUCUGGUUCCAAAGACACAUCCAGCAACGUCGCCUAUUUGACCAUCUCCGGGGUCCUGGCAGAGGAUGAGGCUGAUUAUUACUGUGCUGUGUGGCAUAACAAUGCUUGUCACAGUGACACAGACAGAUGGGGAAGUGAGAAAAAAACUUCCCCUCCCCAAACCUGGGCCCUGCAAAAAUCCACCAACUGCAGAGUUUUCUCUCCAGCCUAA